RNAcentral lists this ribosomal RNA (1489 nucleotides) under uncultured bacterium. RNAcentral's name for it is "partial 16S ribosomal RNA". It matches the Rfam family "Bacterial small subunit ribosomal RNA". The record is from RNAcentral.
UAGAGUUUGAUCCUGGCUCAGAUUGAACGCUGGCGGCAGGCUUAACACAUGCAAGUCGAGCGGUAACAUUUCUAGCUUGCUAGAAGAUGACGAGCGGCGGACGGGUGAGUAAUACUUAGGAAUCUACCUAGUAGUGGGGGAUAGCUCGGGGAAACUCGAAUUAAUACCGCAUACGACCUACGGGAGAAAGGGGGCAACUUGUUGCUCUCGCUAUUAGAUGAGCCUAAGUCGGAUUAGCUAGAUGGUGGGGUAAAGGCCUACCAUGGCGACGAUCUGUAGCUGGUCUGAGAGGAUGAUCAGCCACACCGGAACUGAGACACGGUCCGGACUCCUACGGGAGGCAGCAGUGGGGAAUAUUGGACAAUGGGGGCAACCCUGAUCCAGCCAUGCCGCGUGUGUGAAGAAGGCCUUUUGGUUGUAAAGCACUUUAAGCAGUGAAGAAGACUCUAGGGUUAAUACCCCUAGACGAUGACAUUAGCUGCAGAAUAAGCACCGGCUAACUCUGUGCCAGCAGCCGCGGUAAUACAGAGGGUGCAAGCGUUAAUCGGAAUUACUGGGCGUAAAGCGAGCGUAGGUGGCUUGAUAAGUCAGAUGUGAAAGCCCCGGGCUUAACCUGGGAACGGCAUCUGAUACUGUUGAGCUAGAGUAGGUGAGAGGAAGGUAGAAUUCCAGGUGUAGCGGUGAAAUGCAUAGAUAUGUCACAGAACACCGAUUGCGAAGGCAGCUUACUAUGGUCUUAUUGACGCUGAGGCACGAAAGCGUGGGGAUCAAACAGGAUUAGAUACCCUGGUAGUCCACGCCCUAAACGAUGAACACUCGCUGUUGGCGAUACACAGUCAGCGGCUAAGCGAAAGCGUUAAGUGUUCCACCUGGGGGAGUACGCCCGCAAGGGUGAAACUCAAAGGAAUUGACGGGGGCCCGCACAAGCGGAGGAGCAUGUGGUUUAAUUCGAUGAUACGCGAGGAACCUUACCCGGGCUUGAAAGUUAGUGAAGCUUCCAGAGAUGGGAGCGUCCGCAAGGACACGAAACUAGGUGCUGCAUGGCUGUCGUCAGCUCGUGCCGUGAGGUGUUGGGUUAAGUCCCGCAACGAGCGCAACCCCUAUGUCUAGUUGCCAGCACGUAACGGUGGGGACUCUAGACAGACUGCCUGUGCAAACAGAGGGGAAGGCGGGGACGACGUCAAGUCAUCAUGGCCCUUACGUCCGGGGCUACACACGUGCUACAAUGGACGGUACAGAGGGCAGCUAUACAGCAAUGUAAUGCCAAUCUCAAAAAGCCGUUCACAGUUCGGAUCGGGGUCUGCAACUCGACCCCGUGAAGUUGGAUUCGCUAGUAAUCGCAUAUCAGCAAUGAUGCGGUGAAUACGUUCCCGGGCCUUGUACACACCGCCCGUCAAGCCAUGGAAGCUGGGGGUACCUAAAGUACGUAGCCGCAAGGAGCGUCCUAGGGUAAAACCGGUAACUGGGGCUAAGUCGUAACAAGGUAACC